This 486-nucleotide long non-coding RNA is filed under the name Dromaius novaehollandiae (emu). RNAcentral's name for it is "lncRNA (ENSDNVG00000003204.1)". The record is from RNAcentral. Lineage: Eukaryota; Metazoa; Chordata; Aves; Casuariiformes; Dromaiidae.
CCACUAGAUGCAAAAGGGGGGUUGAGCACCAGCGUGUCACAGCUCCUUAGAGAAUCACCCUCCGCGUGCCGCCUCGUGAGGGCUGGAGGCUGCAGGGGAGCUUGGUCUGGGGGUGCAGGUCGGGAGCUCAGUGCAAACACACGAGGUUGCUGCGGUGCCUGAGCGUGCUGCCGCGUUCUCCAGUACGGCCCUUCCCAGCCCCAGCGCGUUACCUGCGGCUUUGCCCCUUUCGAGGGACGAGAAGGAACCAGCCCCUGGGCCUGGAAGCUGGUGGCUCCUCGGGGUCUUGCCCUCGUGAUCUGGAAGAGCAGCCUGCACUGGAGCUGCACUGAGCUGAGGAGGCAGGAGGAGAUGGUCUGUCCUGGGAUGUUUGGUCUGAGACAGGCUGCUGUCCCUAAAUGUUGGUGACUCGCUAACUCAUGGUGGCCUGGGGUCCCUGUCUGGAGAACGUCAGUUGAAUGGUGCCCAGAAGUCUCUCGUGCUCCC